UGGGGAAUAUUGCGCAAUGGGGGAAACCCUGACGCAGCGACGCCGCGUGCGGGAUGAAGGCCCUCGGGUUGUAAACCGCUUUUGAUUGGGAGCAAGCUUUCGGGUGAGUGUACCUUUCGAAUAAGCGCCGGCUAACUACGUGCCAGCAGCCGCGGUAAUACGUAGGGCGCAAGCGUUAUCCGGAAUUAUUGGGCGUAAAGAGCGUGUAGGCGGUUCGUCGCGUCUGGUGUGAAAGCCCAUCGCUUAACGGUGGGUUUGCGCCGGGUACGGGCGGGCUAGAGUGCAGUAGGGGAGACUGGAAUUCUCGGUGUAGCGGUGGAAUGUGUAGAUAUCGGGAAGAACACCAAUGGCGAAGGCAGGUCUCUGGGCUGUUACUGACGCUGAGAAGCGAAAGCGUGGGGAGCGAACAGG
Molecule: ribosomal RNA, 411 nt
Filed under: Bacteroidota bacterium
Lineage: Bacteria; Pseudomonadati; Bacteroidota
Description: Bacteroidetes bacterium partial 16S ribosomal RNA
Rfam family: Bacterial small subunit ribosomal RNA
Source: RNAcentral